This 65-nucleotide transfer RNA is filed under the name Cucujoidea sp. 35 KM-2017. RNAcentral's name for it is "tRNA-Ile". Lineage: Eukaryota; Metazoa; Arthropoda; Insecta; Coleoptera. The record is from RNAcentral.
UAUGAAGUGCCUGAAAAAUAGGGCUAUCUUGAUAGGGUAGAAAAUGUGGUUUAACACCUUCAUAU